GAGAGGUGCUGCAUGGCUGUCGUCAGCUCGUGUUGUGAAAUGUUGGGUUAAGUCUCGCAACGAGCGCAACCCCUAUCGUCCGUUGCCAGCAUUAAGUUGGGCACUCUGACGAGACUGCCUGGGUUAACCGGGAGGAAGGUGGGAUGACGUCAAGUCCUCAUGGCCCUUAUGUCUAGGGCUACACACGUAAUACAAUGGCGCGUACAAAGGGAAGCGAACUCGCAAGGGGGAGCAAAUCUCAAAAAGCGCGCCUCAGUCCGGAUUGGAGUCUGCAACUCGACUCCAUGAAGUUGGAAUCGCUAGUA
RNAcentral lists this ribosomal RNA (305 nucleotides) under uncultured Peredibacter sp. RNAcentral's name for it is "bacterial SSU rRNA". It matches the Rfam family "Bacterial small subunit ribosomal RNA", at positions 1033 to 1340 of the family's 1533-position model. The record is from RNAcentral. Lineage: Bacteria; Pseudomonadati; Bdellovibrionota; Bacteriovoracia; Bacteriovoracales; Bacteriovoracaceae.